UCUCUCUUUCUUCCUUCCCUUUCGGUAUUUUAUUCUGUUUAUGAACUUCCUCUUCCCUCUCUUGUAAAACCAGGCAAAUAUCGACCCUCCUCCGACGUCCUCCUUAUCUGCCGACCGCCUCUCUACGGCCUCCAUCCACCUUUCCUUUCUUUUUGAACCGAGGUGCAAAUAAGGUGAAAAAGAUAGGAAAAUCCAAAGCCAACAUCUUCGGAACAAAAGCCGAACCCCAGCCUCCGAUCUGUCGGCUGGAAGUUUCCGUUGCGAAGAACUCCGAUAGAAACGCUGAAGCCCAGGCUCCUCGACUAUGAAGCCUCCAAUCUGUCAGCUGGAAGAUUCUGAAUCGAACAUCUCCGGCAGAAACGCCGAAGCCCAGCCUCCUUGACGGUGAAGCCUCCGAUCUGUCGGUUGGAGCUUUUUCCUUCUGUUUGAGGGAUCUCGUUUUGAACUUUCUGCCUGUGUUUUUGGGUUCUCAUUUGCCUUCAAUUUUUUGUUUUUUGAUUUGGCUGACCAUGGCUAGAAUUUCAUAAUUCCGUUGGGUUUGUGAUUUGGGCAUUUCGUUGGCUGCAAUUUUUUGUUCUAAUUUGCUUUGUUUUUCACAGGGAUAUCUGCAAUUUUUCGAUUUGGGCAUUGUCUGCUGUGAGUUUGAUUUUGGGACAGAAGUGUUGCAUUGUUUGAAAAUUCUGUGUUUUUGGGUUGCUGCUACUCGUGGGGGUACACUAAGCUAAGGAAAAACCAAAUGGAGAAGGGAGUGUCGAUGCUUCUGAAGAGGCAAUGAGUGCAGCAACUACUGCUGGUUGACAGAGCAGUCUUGGUGUUCCUCGAAUGCUGGUUAAAGAGAUAGCUGCUGCUUAGAUUCAGAAGGCUUUUCGGGCAUAGAGGGUUGAUUGAUUACACAUUGCAUCACAGAUGAAAAGCAACACAUCAUUUGGAUUGCCAGCAAAAAUAGGCCUUUUUGUUGCAGGUUAGUAUAAUUUUGCUCAACAAUUUUGCGACCUCGUGACUUACACUUU
Molecule: long non-coding RNA, 1010 nt
Organism: Theobroma umbraticum
Lineage: Eukaryota; Viridiplantae; Streptophyta; Magnoliopsida; Malvales; Malvaceae
Source: RefSeq, a predicted model, not a curated record